This 22941-nucleotide long non-coding RNA is filed under the name Citrus sinensis (sweet orange). RNAcentral's name for it is "long non-coding RNA (CSIN_LNC001364)". The stretch from base 12610 to 12746 matches the Rfam family "Small nucleolar RNA Z247". The record is from RNAcentral. Lineage: Eukaryota; Viridiplantae; Streptophyta; Magnoliopsida; Sapindales; Rutaceae.
UAACUCUUGACAAUUAUAUAUUCAUAUGCAUGUUAGUAGCAUGAUGCUACCAAUAUUCGCACCUUUAGCAUUCAAACACUUGAUCAUUGAAAGAAUUUAAGAAAAAUGUUGUUUGGUUACUGAGAAAAUAUCUCAACAAAAUUUUCAGAGAACUUUCCGGAAUUCUUGCCUUUAUUUCACUUAAUGAAAAAUGUUACAAUUACAUUCAAUUUAUAUUCGAUGCUUUAGCAUUACUAUAACUAACUCAGAACAUACUACACAUGCUUAACUACAGCUCAAUAGAUACAGAGUAAGUCAUAACAAACUUUUAACUACUUAUGCUGAGGUGGCAACUGAGCUGUUAUUCCGCUUAAUCAUCUGACGUCACCAACUUGUUGGUUUUCCUCAGCUCGAGCGUCUUCUUCCUUUCUGUACAAUGAGCUUCUUUAACAACCACUGAAGCAGCCUUUCUCACCAACCUAGCUCCGACAUUAAUCUAUAGAGUUAUCAAGACCGACAUUCGAUGACGUAAUCACAUAAAGUUGCGCUUAUGCCUACAAAAUGGCUGAAUAACUAACCAAUUCGAUUCCUUAUUGCACCAUUCCUGAAUCCUGUCCUCUGAUACUGUAGGCCUCUUCCCGUCUUCCAUAUCGCAAGACACUUCACCUAGCCCAAAACAUACCGUUCUUGGCUUGAAAAUGGAAAGUCUCGUGCAGUGCAGAAAUCAGAGGAAUUAACCCACUUAUGACCAUCGUGUGUGUAUAUAGUAGACGAUGUAAUUAGAUAUCUAAUGAGUGUUUAAGAUAUUACAGAUUAAAAUGUUGCAUACUCUGGACAUUAACAUAACAUAAAAUUUGAUCCACAAUUUACUCAAUUUCUGAGUUAGCUUACCAAAAGUAUUGUAGCAGAAAUAACCAAAUCAACCCAGGUCCUUAUAUGGAGCCCCUGCGCGUCAAUUAAAGUAAAAGCUCGAUCCUCUGUUAUCCGAAAUGGUCAAACAAACAUUAAACCAAAAUGUUGAAGUCUCUUUCUUUUGCAAUUCUAGCUCUAACUGAUGAGAUUGAUCGAAAAGAAUAACCAACAUUAAGAUUAAUUUUUAUUUCCAUUUCUAGGAAAUGGAGAAUUAAAUGGAAUUCUCUCAGUAAAGCUCACCAAUAUCUGUCUCCGUCAUCACAUAGAUAUAUCAGACUAGCUAUCUAAUCCUUUUAUUUUAUUUUUUUCCUUUUUCAUUCAACAGCUUCAGCAUAUAACAAGAAAGCUUGGGCUCCUACAAUGUUUAGGCCUCAUCACGAUUAAGUACUCGUACGGUGGCGCAAGUAGCAGGCCUGGCGCCACUCUGGAUCUGCUAGAGAAAAAAAUUUUACACAUGCGCCCUGAAAAUCUGUUACAUAAAUUAUGUCCUAAUAAUCAGCAAUAAUUCAAAGAUGCGGAUAAAAAAAACACUAUAAUGUACAAACAUACACCUUGUUUAUAUUUUUUGUAUCACAUGAGACAUAAACUCCUCAAGAGUCAAGUCCGACAUUUAAUUCAACCCAUAAACUUGUGCUUGUAGCCCGCAUAAAUGGUUAAACAAAUAUUAUAUUUUCGACUUGAAGAUUGGAUUACAAAUAUAUAAUAGGAAAGUAAAAUGGAGGAGGAGAAAGAAAUUACCUGUAGUAGUUGAGAAAUUACUGCCAAAAAUAGAAUUACCCGUAGGAAUUUUAUUUGGUUAGUAAUUGAGAAAGAAAUUACCUUAGGUGAUGACUGAAAGGAAUUUAGAUCUAUCAAAAAUAGAUGUAAGCAAUUAAAAACUAAAAAUUAAUUACUUAAUUAAUUUUUUCAGAAGUGCUGUUCAUUGUUACUGUUUACGGUUCUGUUCACCACAACUGUUUACAGUUACUUUACAAUUAUUGUUUAUCCACAUAAAAAAUAUUAAUUUUCCAAAAACACAAUAAAAUGCCGAAAAUAAAUUAUACAGAAAUUUUUACGUGGUUCGUAUUAAUCAAUCCUACAUCCACGUGGGCACGCCAAGAUGAAAAACAAUCACUAAGUUGAGAUGUUACAACUUAUGGAUUUACCAAACUUAAGACUCUCACUUACAGUUUAUCACCAUACAGUUUACUCAACCUUAGACUGAAUCUGCUUCUCUUAAAUAAUUGCUACCCCUCUUGAUCCACGAUCCUCAAGGCACUUUGCAAAGUGAUCAAUAGCAAUUCUUCAAUUCUUCAACGUCUAGUGAUCCAAGAUUGACAUAGAGUCUCAACAGAGAUAAAAAGAAGAUAAUAAAACAAAUCAACACAACAUGGUGCGCCAAAUUCGGAUUCUCUGGGGAGGAGGCCGAAUUAUUGCUUCUCUGCUUUAUGCUUUGCAUUGUGCCUGUCUUCAAUUGUGAAAUACCUCUAUUUAUAUAGGCAAUAGGGUUUCACCAAAAUAGCAAGUUUGAAAAAACUUAGAUACUUUCCAAAUAAGAGUUUGUUUCCUCUUAUAAUUCCUAUGAAUCUGAAUAGGAAUAAAUAUGAUCUUCUUGCAUUACUUGUCUCCGAAGAAAUAUCUAGAGCAUUUAAUGACUUCUUGUUUGAACCAACUUCUUGCUCUAAAUAGAUCUCAUGCACUAAUAAUAGAAUCCCACCAUUAAUUGACUUGCUAAAAUAGACAUUUAAUUAAAUUAGGAAACAAAUAUUCCUAAUAAAUUGGAAUCUCACUAAAUUAGGAAAUUAAUAAAUUAAUCCCUAUUACAAGAUAUGCAAUAAAUAAACUUCCAAUUUAACUAGAACUUAACAAUGGUGACGGUACUCGUUUUAAAAAUCCUCAAGGUUCGAAUUUGACAUAUUGGUGAUUGAUUAGGAUGCUGGGAAUGUGGCAUAUCUUGGGGCAGUCCUCUCCUGUUUCCUUUAUGUGAUGCUCUUCUAAAACAGAACACGAACUAAUACCUGAAUCCUGCAGUGUUGUUUGUUGUGCGCAGAAUGCGAAAUCAAACGCACCAAAUAAUCAUAGAAAAAUAAAGGACACAAAAUUUAACUCAGAUACUAUCUAUGAAUAAUAUAACUCAGUACCUCACUUCAUGCAAGCUUUGAUAUAUUAUUCCUUCUAUCUAUUUAUCCACUGCUAAUUGUUUUAUAAAAAAUUUGGUGCACUGAAGUGAACCCAAUAACUCCUAGCUAGAAGCAACAAUGUCCAAUUAAGCCGCUGAUACAAUCAAUCAAACAAUAAGGAAAGGAUCAACAACACAAAAAGCACACGCAAGGCACAAAGAUUUACAUGAUAUAUCCACAGGUGGCGAUGCUGGUAUCCACUAUACGUGUGAUGAAAACAAGUGUAUAUAUAUAAAGAACACCACCUGUCUCCUCACAAUAAGCCCCUAGAAUACAAGCGCAAAUAAAAAUAAGCCCAUUCCUGCUCUGCUCUGCCCUCAUGUACGUAACUCCUCUGCUAAGAAAUAUUGCCUUAAAAUAUCCGUAGCAUAUGCAUGGAUGACCAGCAAAUCAGUUAAGACAUAUAAAAUUACCAUCCACACAGGAAAUCAGCAAAUCAGUGGUUUCAUGAAUUUGUAAUAUUUGAACAUCAGAAUAUGAAGAGUACAGGGCAAUGGGAAAAAGUAAUUAACCAACCAAAUAAAUUUAAAUCCAAAUAAGAUAAGUAACGUAUGAAAGGAGGGUUGAAGCCCACCUUAGAAACUCCUGUCUAUGAAGGCCAAUAAAUCUCCUGCUAUCUGUUUGCUUAGAUCUUUAUGUAUUUCUAUACACUUUUUACUCUACUCUGUUGUUCAACCUUCCUUGGCUUUAUGUAUCUAUUUUAUGUGUAUUGAGAAGGCUAGUUACUAGGUNNNNNNNNNNNNNNNNNNNNNNNNNNNNNNNNNNNNNNNNNNNNNNNNNNNNNNNNNNNNNNNNNNNNNNNNNNNNNNNNNNNNNNNNNNNNNNNNNNNNNNNNNNNNNNNNNNNNNNNNNNNNNNNNNNNNNNNNNNNNNNNNNNNNNNNNNNNNNNNNNNNNNNNNNNNNNNNNNNNNNNNNNNNNNNNNNNNNNNNNNNNNNNNNNNNNNNNNNNNNNNNNNNNNNNNNNNNNNNNNNNNNNNNNNNNNAUAUAUUUGUGCCAAUUUUCACACCUUUAGCAUUCAAACCUUGCUCUAGAACAACUGCUGUGGUCCGAUGCUGCAGGCAAAAAAUUUGACCUACGAAGCAGCCUCACUCACCAACCUAGCCCCAAAUAAAUUUUUUGAAAUGCCUUGAAAACCUUAACAUUAUAUCCAAAUAAACAUAACUUGUGUUUGUGACGUAAUGAGAUUGCAGUGCAUUCGUAGAGUGUACACUUAUCUGCCAUUUCGGAACAAUUUUUUUUUACUUCUCUUAAAAUUUGCAUAAGAAAUAGCAAUAUGGACAAGUACCUACUUAUGAAAGUGUUAAGAUAUUUUUACAUUUCUUCUUUUUCUUUCAAGGAGUAAAAGUAAUUAUUCAUUUUGUUGAUGCCCAUUUACUCUAUAAAUGCCAUCAUGACCACUGAGAUAUGUUCAUGAAUAAGCAUCUACCAUCAGAUCGAUUCGAAAACGGAAAGGAAUAGAGAAAUAAAAGGUGAAACAAAUGAAAUAAUUAAGGAGAGGAACGAGAUUCUGUUGUCUGGUUAUAACUGGAAAUCAAGCAUGAAAAAGGAAUUGAUUUUUCUUUUUUGGUUGACAGAAUACACUUUCAACUAUAAGAAAAAAAAGAAAAUUUGAAUUUGAUAUUUAACAGAAAAUUCAAAUAAAAUCAAAUUCAUUUGUAAUUUAAGUUCAUUUCAUUCUUAAAAUUUGACAUAUAGAAUAAAAUUUAUAACUGUUUCAAAUACAAAAACAUAUUAAUAUUCAAAAUAAUAAAAUUUUCAUGGCAAAAAGUUAAAAAUAAAAAAUAAAACGGUUUGAUGGAGAAUGGAAUUGAGCAGGGAAAGUUUGAUGGAAGAUGCACACACCAGUUGUGGAAUUAUACUGUUAGUCAUUUUAUUAAAAAAAUAAAAUAAAAAUAAAAAUCACCUCGUUGAAAGAUUAUUUGCUACGAUUAAAAAUUUUAUUUGGUGAGCAAAACGACGUACGGUCCUCAAAAACCUCAUGAUGAUGCAUGUAUAUUCUAAGCUUCAUGACAUCAUAAUAAAAAUGUUUUGCGAAGGUAACUGGAAAUUUGUUUUAUUCAAUGAAUGGUACAUUUACUGGUAUGUUUAAUAGUUUGUGGGUAAUUGUUUAUUUUCUUUUGGUUGAAAAUUUUGCCAUCUCACAAACUAACAACUAAAUUUGACUCCUUUUUAUAUAAAUUUUAUAGGCCCGCCGAUUCACCAAUUUUAUUUUAUAAUCCUUGUAUGUUUGUUAUCUUUAAAUUAUGACCCCAAGUACCAAAAUUCCAAUAUCACGGUCUUUUAUAAGGUUUGGUUAUGAUAAUUAAUUAAUACGAUAAAUACAAACAAGGCACAAAUUAAAAUUUAUAUGGUUCGGCAUAUUAAUUAAUAUGCCUACAUCCACGGAUGGUGAUACCGAAAAUCCACCACAUGAUGAAAAAGUGUACAAACAAUAAUGAAAAUAUUGCUUUCCCAACAAAUUAAUCAGUUAGACGAAUAUAUCCUAAUUAUAAUGGUUUUAUGACAUACAUACAUAUCAAAUUCAUGACUUGUAUUUUGCACUGUUGCAGAGCAAUGAGCAGGCUACAAUACGUUCACUUGUUGAACUCGACCCUCAGAGCGACGGAGAGGACCAUUUGCUGUAUCCUCGAAGACUACCAGAAGGAGGAUGGUGUGUGUGGAAGUACCAGAAGUUCUACAAUAUUGGAAAUGGUUCAGCCGUGAUCAUUGGGAAAAUUAAAAAACCGAAUAAGUAAUAUAAUAAUUAUAAAACCAGUCGGUUCGAUUUUUUAUUUUAAAAAAAUUAAAAAACUGAACCGAUUAUCAAAUAAACCGAAUAACAACCGGAAUCCCUAAAGUGAAUAAAGUCUAAACACUCUAAACUAAAUUGUGACCACUUCUUCUGAGUUCUGAUCAUCAACCUAAAUCGUGACCACUUCUGAGUUCUGAUCUUCAGCUGAAACUGAAAUCGUGACCUUCAGCCGCUGAAGUCUCGUCCCCGUUGCUCGUCGCCGCCACUGCUCGUCGCUGCUGCUUAUCGCUGCUGCUCGUCGCUGCUGCCCAUCGUUGUUGCUCGUCGCCGAGUCUCCGCCACUGUUACCACGUGCUGCAGCCGCUGUCAGCUGCUGCUGCUGCCACUGUCACCAACAACUCUCAGCAGAACAAGGUUUUAUGAAUUUAAAAAGCUAUAGCUAUAAUAUUUUGUUAUCAUUGGGGCCAUAUAAAUUCGUGAGAAUCCCAGAAAUUGCAUUGAAUUUUUACUGAAUCUGAUAAGCCCGGCAUAUCUUAAUCCCAGCUAUUUUGGCUAUAGCGUACCAUUCAUUCGUUAGCUCCAAGGGCCCAUCAACAGGCGUUUUCGGGAAUCGGCUGCGGGGCGAAUUUGGGGUAAAUGCAAGAGGAUAAAAAAAAGCUAUAGCCAAAAUAGCCAAGAGGAUCCCAAGGGCCCCGUCAAUAAGAAUUUGCAGACUUGCAUAAAUAAAUUAUGUAUGAUGCUAUAAAUGAUGCCCAUUAGCCAGACUUGCAUUCUCAGCAAUUCUUCUCCAUUUCUUAAUCCUUUUAUCCAUAUGCUUUGUUAAUGCACAAUACUGUUGAAUAAACUUUGUAUUCCUUUUAUCAGUUUGUUUGAGAUUAAAAUUGGAGGUAAUAAAAUGUUGUUUUGAUUUCAAUUGAGAUGUAUUUAGCUUGAAACAUUGACUUCAUGAAACUAAUUUUGACACUUGAUUUUCUGAUCGAAUUUAUGAUUAUAAUUGGUGAGGAUGAUUUGAAUUUAAUUGCAUGCCAUCAGCCAGGCCAGUGUUGGAAUGUCAUAAUAUUUUUUAUUUGUAAUCCCCAAGAUUUUUUAUUUGUUGCUUCUGUUGUAUUGAUUUGUUGUUGUAGAAUGGAAAACUAUGAUGAGGAGGAAGUGCAAGAGGUGGAGGUUGAUGAUGUGAAAAAAAGAAAAAUACUUUGAGACAUAUUGUGAUUUUUUGUUUGUUAACUUUUUAUGUUUGUGGUAGAUUUAUUAAUUUAAGGUUUUAAAUUUAAAAAAAUCCAAAAUAGGCCCAAUAGGCCUAUAAUCGAAAUAAUCGAACCGAACCGAAUCGAAUUAUUUCAAUUAAUCGAGUAUUUGAUUAUUUCGAUAAUUCGAUUAAUCGCGAUUAUAAUUUUAAAAUAAUUGUAAUCAAACGAUAAUGAAAAGUUUAGUAAAAACCCGAACCGAACCGCGCCCAUCCCUAGCCACCAGAGCUUUAGUUCAGUGAUUUUCUCAAUACGACGUACGGUCCUCAGAACCUUAUCAUGAUGCUUGUAUAGUCUAAGCUUCAUGACAUCAUAUUAAACAGUGUUGGCUUUAACCAAUUGGGGGCCUUAGCCGAAAUUUCAUUUUAGGCAUUCUAAUGUUAAAAUAUCAACUAUCACAAGAAUAUUAAAUAGCUAAAAAAACUCUCACAACAACAUCAAGUAGCUCAAAAUUCAACAAUAUCUUGAAUUACAACAAUUAUUAACAAGAUCUAAAAAAAACAAAAAAUAAUAGUUGGAAAGAUAUCUAUUUCUUUCCACAUGAAUAUUAACUAACUUUGUCUUCCACAAAAUCCAGCUCCUUAAGAUGCUCUAAAACUUCUUCAGCCAUAACCAUAAUCAUCUCGUGAACUUUAUAUCAUUGCUCCUACCUAAUAUGAUCCUAAUCCAUAUUUUCUAGUUGACAUGCUUUUCAAAUUAAAAAAAAAAUAAACAAACAAUUUUUUUUUCUAGAUUAUUCAAGCCAAAAUCAAUACAAAAAAUAAAAAAAUAAAUUAAAUUUAAAAAGGAUAAGAACAGUAAUAAAAAAAUGGAAAAAAAUAGAAUGAUAGCACCUAUAAUUGAGUCAAUUGACUAGUUGAGAUGAGGAUGAUGAUGGCAAUGAAUUUUGUAGAGAAAGAGAAGAGAGCACAAAAACUUUUUGUUGAAAGUAGCUUUGAUUCAAUGUGUAUCGGUUUAUAGAUAAUGAGUUUUUAAAUAUAUUUUAAUAGAAUACUAAAAGUUAGCUCUAAAAAUCCAACGUUACUAAUUUUAAUAAGAGCUCUUUUUGGAAAGGGAAAGCAUUCAUUUGUUUUUUGGGAAAAUAGUAAAAGAAAAUAAAGAAGUAAUGUUAAAAAUAAUUAUUAUACCAUACAAAUAUAUUUUAUAUUUAAGGUAAAGAUUAUUAAAUAGGAGAGACAAUUAUGAAUGAGAGUAAUGAUAGGGUAAAGACUAAAAAUUAGUUUUUUUUAAUUGUAUAAAAAAAAUAUACGUAACUUAAUUUUUUAAUCUUAAAAAAAUUAAUUAUAUUGAUUAAUAAAUAGAUACCAAAAAAUUAAGGUCUUCCUAAAUACGAGGCCCUAGGCAACUGCCUAGUUUGCCUAGUCCUAAAGCCGUCACUGAUAUUAAAAUCAUAUUGCUAAGGUAAUUAGAAAUUUGUUUUAUCCAAUGAAUGUUACAUUUACUGGCAUGUUUAAUAUUUUGCUUUGGUUAAAAAUUUUGCUAUCUAACAGCUAAUAACUGAAUUUGACUCAUUUUUAUGUAAAUUUUAUAGACCCACCAAUUCACCAUUUUUUAUGUUAUGAUCAUUGUAGGCAUGUUAUUUUUUAAAUUAUGAUUCCAUGUGAAAUCAAAAUUUAAAUUUCACCAUCUUUUAUAAGAUUUGAUUAUAAUAAUCAAAUAACACAAUAAACAAACACAAGGCAAAAAAAUUUACGCGAGUUGACAUAUUAAUUAAUAUGCCUACAUCCACGGGUGGUGAUACUAAUAAGCCACUAUAUAAUGAAAAAGUGUACAAAUAACAAUAAGCUCUCAGAUGAGCACAAAAAAAGAAAAAGAAAAAGAAAAAAGAAACACCAAUCUCAACACUCAAAAACAAUCAAUCCCCAGCAGUUUGGCCUCACAAGAGCUCUCUCUGCGUUGUGCUUUCCCUCGUUCAUUCUCUUUACAAAUACAAGGCUCGCAAAAAUACAAAACGAAUUACUGAAAACAUACAUAACAGAUUAAAAAAGCACGCGCCGCGCCCGUCCCCCAAUUCCUGCUCUGCGACGCCAUUUCGUAAUUCCUUUUUGGCUGAAAAAUUAAUAUCGCUUUCCCCAACAAAAAAACAAAUGAAUCAGUUAGACAAAUAUAUCUAAUUUUAAUGGACAUUGUUAAAUUAAUGAAGAAGAGUAGAGAGAGAGCAAACGAGAAGGAAAGCGUAUACAAAUUAUAAUUACUAACCAGAGUUAUUAGCACCAUUACAUAUAUAUAUCCCUGCUGAAUCCCCUCCUCUGUUCACCAUUAGUUUCUAAAAUGGAUUAAAAAAUAACUACUAAUUAAUUUUAAUUAAAAUAGAGUGAGACACGCAAUGCAUGCAGGAGAUCUAGAAAUAAAUUACCCGUGGCGGUGGCCGUGGGUGAUUGUAAUUGACUAAUUGCAGCCGCGCACUUCACUCAAUCUCGAUGUUGGGAAUGUGGCGUAUCUUAGGCCAGUCCUCUCCUGUCUCCUCUCUGUAACGUUCUUCUAAAAUAUAACACCGCCUAAUAUACAAUUCCUGGAGCGUUGUCUUCUGAAGAAGGUGAUCGGGCAGUGCUUUUAAUUUAGGGCAACUCGAAAUAGUCAAGGAAGAAAGACGUGGCAUGAUUAUGAUUUCUUCCUUUAUUGCAGUCCCGAGAUCCCACUCUUCCAGUUCUUCCAUAUAACGAAAUCUGAGCAGUUUCAAUUUGGGAAAGGCAAUAACUGAGCAGCCAUCCGUAUCACCUUCUACUCCCAGAAAUUCAUUACCCACUCUUUUCACAUUUUCCAUUCCUAAAAUAUGAAGAGAUUCAAGGGAUGGCAAUUUUCCCAAAGGAGGCAAAUGCUCACAAUUUCUCCACCCGAAGAGAAAUAAAACCGUUAAAUUGGUUAACGACAUGAACCAAUUUAUGGGGACAACAUUCCUCCUCCCUCUGUAUUCGUCUAUCCGUAAUUUCUUUAAAUUAGGAGAUGGUCCCAAGGCUUCAAGAAGCCGUUCAUCUUCAUCCUCCUCAUUCUCCCUCCUCCCAGCUCGUUCUUCAUCUCCAUCUCUUGAAUGACCAAAAUGAAGUCCCAAUUUUAAGAGAUUUUUCUUUUUCUCAAGUUCAGCCCUUCUAGCCUCCCCCGCAUCUGACACAUCACCCAGCCCACGUAUCCUGCAGUCUCGAAGGAGGUUAAGCUUUUUAAGAGACCCAAGGCUACAUGCUCUGUCAUACCCUCCACCCACAACAAAAUCUCUCACCCUCCGAAGCCUGAUUAAUUCCCCAAUCCCUGCCGGCAAGUAUCUUAAAGAAUCAGUCCCCUCAUUGUGUAAAUACAUCAGCUUUCUUAACUUCCCUAUCCCUCGAGGUAAUUCUCUAAGUUUUACACAACAACUAACAUCUAAACGUUCUAACUUAUAUAACUCACACAUGGUCUCAGGUAAUUUUUCUAUCUUCUUUAUACCUUUCAAAUUAAGGUAUUUCAAAUGUAACAAUUUUUCUAUAUUUGUUGGAAUUUCCUUGAUGUAAUUCACACAUGACCACCUAUCACGAUUUAAUUUUAAUGCCCUUAAACAAGUUAAUUUAUCAAAUAAUUGAGGUAGGACUUUGCUAGACCAUGAAUGUUCAUCACUUUCAACUAAGAGGCUACGCAAUCGUCGCAAUCGUUUAACAUUACCCCAAAUGGAGAUCGGAACCGAAGCCCCUCUAUAUAAAGUUAACAUUAAAUGAAGGAUUUUUUUCUCCCCAAAAGAGCUCAUAGCUGACUCUUCACCACCAUGAAUUUCUAUUGUUGAACACUCAUUACUACAUAAGUAUUGAGCAAAGUCAUGCACUAUAUCGUGCAUUUUGCAAGUAGAGAUUUCACCAUCAUCAUCUUUUUUAAAAUCCUGAAAGAAUGAAUGGCUAGCUAAGAUGUUGAAAUACUCUUCACCAAUAUCCUCCAUCUCUUUGGCCCCUUUCUCACUAAGAUAACCUUGUGCCAUCCAUAGGUUAAUUAACUCUUUUUUUUGUAUGCCGUAGUCUUUUGGAAAGACGGCACAAUAAGUGAAACAUUGUUUAACCUUAGAGGGCAAUUCAUUGUAACUCAACAAUAGAGGGGUCAAAAGGCCUCUCUCAACCUCUUCUAGUUCCCAUAUCUCACUCUCUAAGAUAUUUUGCCAUUCUUUUUCAGUGUUUCUAGACUGCAGGAGACUAGCAAUCGUCUUUGCAGCUAAAGGUAAGCCCUUGCACUUGCUUACAAUUUGUCGGCCAAUAUUUUCUAAUUUUUCACAUUCCUCCUUGGACCUGUCGAAAAAUGCUAACUGCUCAAACACUGACCAGCAUUCUAUUUCAGACAAUACAUUGACAGAGGUAACAUUGGUUGAUCUGAUACAACGGGCAACUCUAUCCUUACGCGUGGUAAUCAAAAUUUUACUUCCAUGGAGACCAUUCUUUAAACAUUUGUAGAAUGGUUCCCACUUAUAGUAAUCUUCGUUCCACACGUCGUCUAAGACAAGAAGAAAUUUCUUCCCUUCAACCCAUUCUUGAAUGUGUUGCAUGAGAGAUUGAAACUCUACAAGGUCUUUGGCGGAACCUGGUUUCAGAGCCUCAAUGAGUGCUCUAGCGAUUCUGAACUCAUCAAAAGGAUCUGACACACAGACCCAUAUUCUUUCAUCAAAAUGUUUUUUAACAUCACCGUUGUUGUAGGCAAAUUGAGCAAGAGUUGUUUUGCCUAUGCCCCCCAUCCCAACAAGUGAGAUGAUACAAGGGCCUUUCUGUUCCUUACUGUUAAGGAAGCACACAUCAGUAGCAUAGACUGUAAAGCAGAGGAUAGCAGCAGCUCCAGCUUACAGUUAAGAGUUGAUGACAUGGCAUGCCAGCUGGCACCUGGUGGUUAUGUAAUCACUUGUUCACGUGAUAAUUAGUUGAAGUUGUUAUAGCUAGCUAGAAUUAGUUUUGUAAUGAGUUAACUAAUUGAGCUUAGCAUCAGUUGUGUAUAUAAGCAUCUCUGUGUACAGUUUCAUAAGUAAGUUUUAGAUGAAUAAAAUCGUGUGAGCAAAAAGCUUUCAGUUCUUAAAUUUUCUCAGCUUCCAAACAUCCUUUUUCUGAUUUCUUACUUGGUAUCAGAGCUUUAAUGGCAUCUGUGAAUCUUGCCUCUUCCUUAAAUCAAGUUCAUAAUACCGCUGCACAUUCAACAACAGUCAAUUUCACUUUCAAUACUCCCGUUAAACUUGAUCAAUCAAACUAUUUGAUCUGGAGAUCUCAAGUGCUUGCUUCAAUUUGAGGAAAUAGACUUGAGAAAUUUAUCGAUGAGUCAAUCACUCCACCUCCUUCUCAUAUUGCUCAUAGAUAUGAUGAUGAGCUUAGAUCUGUGGAGAAUCCAGAAUUUGCAACCUGGAGAGCACAAGAUCAAAUACUUCUCGGUUGGCUUCUUUCAUCCAUGAGUGAAGGUAUCAUCAGUUUGGUGUUCAAUCUUGAGACUUCAUUGGAGGUAUGGAAAGCUGUUGAAACUCAAUUUGGAUCUCAAUCAAAGUCUAGGUUAUUACAUUUGAGAUAUUUGAUGAAUUCCACUAGAAAGGAUGAUCUUAAAAUGACUGAAUACUUCAUUAAAAUGAAAUCUAUUGCUGAUAACAUGGCUGCAGCAGGAAGUGCAUUAAGCAAUGAUGAUUUGAUUUUACAUGUACUCUCUGGUCUAGGUCCUGAUUAUAAUUCUGUUGCUACUUACAUCACUGGACAAGUAGGAACUGGAAAAAUGAAUGUUAAUGAGGCUUAUGCUAUGCUGUUAACUCAAGAGGCUAGGAUUGAUCAACAAACUCAUAUGCUUGCUAAUAUGGAUGUUAAACACAAUUUAGAAGCUAACUUUGCACAAAAUAGAGGACCUAAGAGAGGAAACUUCUUAAGAGGAAAAUGUUUUGGUAACCUUGGAUAUAAUUCAGGCUAUAGUAAUGCUGCUGGAAAUUCUGGAAACAGUGGUUACAGAGGAAAUGGUUUUGCUAUUGGAAGUGCUGGAAAUAAUGGUUACAGAGGAAACUAUGGAGGAGGAGGAGGAGGAAACUGGAAUAAUAAUAAUGCUGUCAAUAAUGGCAAAACACCUGGAAAUCCUAAAUCUCAGUGGAAUCCUUCUAAGCCUACAUGUCAAGUUUGUCUCAAAAUAGGUCACACAGCUAAUGUAUGCUGGAAGCUGGAAGAAUUUAUUGCUUCAGGAGCUUAUAGACCACCUCCAAACAGGAAUCCGAAAUCUGCAUAUCUGGCAAACAUGGAAGGAUCAUCUGAUACAAAUUGGUACCUUGACAGUGGUGCCACUCACCAUCUCACAAAUGACAUGAACAAUAUGCAGAUUUCUGAAUCAUUUACAGGUACAUCUAAACUCAUUAUUGGUAAUGGUACUGGCUUGAAUAUUACACAUAUUGGAAAAGCUGUUCUGAGAUUGCAUGGCUUGAAUAUUACACAUAUUGGAAAAGAUUAUUGGUAAUGGUACUGGCUUGAAUAUUACACAUAUUGGAAAAGCUGUUCUGAGAUUGCACAACUGCACUGAUUCCACUGUGAUUAAACUAAACAAUAUACUUUUAGUUCCACAAAUAACCAAGAACCUUAUAAGCAUUUCUCAGCUAACCAAAGACAACAAUAUCACAGUUGAGUUUGCUGACAAAUCUUGUUUUGUGAAGGACAAGGUGAAGAAUUUGAUCAUACUGCAGGGCAAGGCUGAAAAAGGCUUGUACAGAUUGCUAUUAGUGUCCUCAAAUAAAACUUCUGCUCAGUCUUCCUUUCAAGGUCAUGUUGCCAAUAUUGAGUCUUCUUUUCAGUCUUUUGUUCCUUUGUCAAUGCUAUCAACUGUCAAUCUCAGUCAGUCAAAUAAUCACUGCUUGUAAAAUGUGGCAGCAGAACCUUGUAUGAACUCUAAGUGUCUUUUAAGCACUUCUGUAUUACAUCAGAGGCUAGGUCAUCCUAACUCUAAGAUCUUAAACCAUGUAAUACAAUCUUGUUCCUCUUUCAAACCUAUCAAUGGAAAUAAAGAGUUUGAUUCAUGUGAUGCUUGUAAAUUUGGGAAAAUGCAUAGAUUACACUUUCCAGCAACUGAAACAAAAACAAAACAACCUUUAGCCAUUUUACAUACUGAUCUAUGGGGACCAGCUCCAGUGGUUUCCAUACAAGGUUAUAAAUAUUAUGUGAGCUUUGUAGAUGACUUCAAUCUGACUGGGGAGGGGAAUUCAGAUCCUUUAGCAAAUAUCUUCAAGAAGAAGGGAUAGAAUUUAGACACUCUUGUCCUUAUACACAUAACCAAAAUGGUUUGGUAGAAAGGAAACACAGACACAUCACUGAAUCAGGACUUACUCUUCUUGCACAAGCUAAAUUACCUAUCAAAUUCUGGUGGGAUUCCUUUCAUACAGCAGCCUAUCUCAUUAACAGAUUACCAACACCUAUUCUAGCAAUGAAAACUCCAUAUGAAUCAAUCUUUCAUCAUCAACCAGACUAUAACUUUCUAAGAACAUUUGGAUGUUCUUGUUUUCCUUUUCUCAGAGAAUACAAUAACCAUAAAUUUCAUUUCCAUACUUCAAAGUGUGUCUUCUUAGGAUAUAGUCCUUCACAUAAGGGCUAUAAGUGUCUACAUUCAUCAGGCAAAAUUUAUAUUGCCAGUCAUGUAUUGUUUGAUGAAACCACUUUCCCUUACAUUUCAGAUCCAAAUUUUUCUUCCUCUUCUAAACACACUUCCUCUGAUUUUCAAUAUAAUCUUUUUCAAAGGUUUACUCUGUCAGUUCCUAAUAGCAUUCUGAACAGUCUUGAAGCUACUGCAGCAGAUCAAUUCCCUGUCAAUCAUUCUUUAUCAUCAAAUUCACCUCAAUCUCAGUCACCCACAAAUCAGACCUCUACAUCUUUGCCUUCACCUGCACCCCAGUCACCAGCACCACAAAUACCCUGCACAACACAAACAUCUCAGCCUAAACCUUCUACUUCCACCCAUCAUAUGAUAACCAGAGCUAGAGCUGGUAUUUUCAAACCAAAGACCUUUCUAACAACUCACAACAGCUUAGAACCAUCCACUGUCCCUGAGGCAUUAUCAGAUCCUAAAUGGAAAGAUGCAAUGCAAACUGAGUAUGAUGCUCUUAUUCACAACAACACUUGGACUCUUGUGCCAAUGUCUUCAACAUACAAGCUAGUUGGUUGUAAGUGGGUAUUCAGAACAAAGUAUAACACAGAUGGAACUGUCAGCAAGUAUAAAGCUAGAUUGGUUGCAAAGGGAUUUCACCAAACAGCAGGGGUAGAUUAUUCAGAAACUUUCAGUCCAGUGGUGAAGUCUUCAACAGUUAGAGUUAUACUCAGCUUGGCAGUUAUAAAAGGGUGGAAAGUCAGACAAAUUGAUGUAAAUAAUGCAUUCCUUAAUGGAGAUCUUUCUGAAAACGUAUAUAUGACACAACCAGAAGGCUUUGUAACUAAGGAAGGGUACAUCUGCAAACUCAAUAAAGCUCUCUAUGGUCUAAAACAAGCUCCACGAGCCUGGUAUGAAAAAUUGAAGGGUUGUCUAACUACUUGGCAAUUUCUUAAUUCAAAGGCUGAUACAUCUCUAUUCAUUAAACAUGAUACAAGGGGCUUAAUCAUAGUAUUGAUCUAUGUGGAUGAUAUUCUAGUCACUGGACCAGAUUCUGCUUUACUAGAGGAUUUUAUUGUUAAACUCAGUCAGACAUUUGCCUUGAAAGAUCUGGGAUUAGUUGCUUACUUCCUAGGUGUUGAAGUUAGUUACUUUGAUGAAGGUAUGCAUCUAUCUCAAACAAAGUAUAUUAAAGACUUGCUGAGUAAAGCAUCUAUGGAGAAUUGCAAAGGGUCUGAUACUCCUCUUAGUACUGGUUUGAAGCUAGAAAGAAAUGUCAGGGGUCCUUUGGGUCAGGAGUUCGAAAAUCCAACACAAUACAGAAGCAUAGUUGGAGGGUUACAAUAUCUAAUUCUCACCAGGCCGGAUAUAGCUUAUUCAGUUCAUAAGCUCAGUCAAUACCUCAGUUCUCCUACUGUUCAGCACUGGUUAGCCUGCAAAAGAGUUCUUCGAUAUCUCCAGUCAACCAUCACCUAUGGUCUCUAUCUCAGAAAGGAAGCAACUCUGGAAAUUGGAAUAACAGGCUAUACAGAUGCUGACUGGGCUUGUGAUCUUGACGACAGAAAAUCAAUUGGAGCCUAUUGUAUAUACUUGGGUAACAAUCUGAUUUCAUGGUCUUCCAAAAAGCAAGCUAUUAUAGCAAAGUCAAGCACAGAAAGUGAAUAUCGAGCCCUGUCAGCAGCAUGCUCAGAAAUUUCUUGGUUGCAGUCUUUAUUUUCAGAACUCAACAUUGCUAAACUACCUACUCCAGUUCUUUGGUGUGAUAACCAAAGUGCAGGGGAGCUAGCUCGCAACCCUGUGUUUCACUCAAAAUCUAAGCACAUAGAGUUGGAUGUUCAUUAUGUUAGAGACAAAGUGCUUGGAAAAGAAUUGGAGGUUAGAUACAUUCCUACUGAAGAACAAGUAGCUGAUGUUCUGACUAAGCCCUUAUCUUUUUCUAAAUUCAGCUUUUUUAGAUCCAAGCUCAAUGUCGUUAGUAGACCUUUGAGCUUGAGAGGGGAUGUUAAGGAAGCACACAUCAGUAGCAUAGACUGUAAAGCAGAGGAUAGCAGUAGCUCCAGCUUACAGUUAAGAGUUGAUGACAUGGCAUGCCAGCUGGCACCUGGUGGUUAUGUAAUCACUUGUUCACGUGAUAAUUAGUUGAAGUUGUUAUAGCUAGCUAGAAUUAGUUUUGUAAUGAGUUAACUAAUUGAGCUGAGCAUCAGUUGUGUAUAUAAGCAUCUCUGUGUACAGUUUCAUAAGUAAGUUUUAGAUGAAUAAAAUCGUGUGAGCCAAAAGCUUUCAGUUCUUAAAUUUUCUCAGCUUCCAAACAUCCUUUUUCUGAUUUCUUACUCUUACUACUCUCAUAUAACAACCUAUUAACGAGUUCGUUCUUCUCUUUUUGUCUACCAAAUAUCUCGGACUCAUCAAUUGAGGAGAUACUUGCCGGCCCUCGUUGAUCCGCUCUCUCAUUACUCUUGGUAACAUUCACAGCAAAACCAAACAUGGCUUUUUGUUUGUCAAUAUCAUCAAGAGUUUCAUUGAUGUCUUUCAUCUUGAGAGCAAUGCGACGACGUAAAAAAAUAGGUUUGCAGCCAAAGCAAGAGGCAGCAGGAAAGAAGGAACCUACCUUCUUCUUAGGAACGAGAGCAUCAUUCUCAUGAUCAUCCACCCCAUCGAUCUGCAGUUUGAGCCUUGCAGUGUUCCACUCACCCAACACAUCUUCCAUGUCGUAACAUGCGCAUCUGAGUCGAUCGAGCCAGAGUCUGACAGUUUCCUCCUUUACUUGCCUUUUCUCUGCAUCAUGGAGCACAGCUCGAAUGGCUUGGAGAUUGCUGGUCAGCUUCUUCGAUUCCUUUCCGACACCCGUUACAAGCCUCAAUUGUUCCUUCGCCUCUUCAACAGCCAUUGAGGUCAGCAGCUCCAAGAGAGGGGAAAUGAUCGCAUCAACCAUGGUGAAAAAGAAAAAUGAGAGAGAGAAGAAAUUGAUGGUGAGUUGUAGCAAAAGUAAGUAGCUAAUGCUGAAAGAAAUGAAGGAGCUGAUAAUGUGGUGAAAAUGUUGCCGUAUUCUUUCAAUUCUUAUAGUACUGCAAGCAAAAUUCUAAUUUAGAAAUAUUUCAUUUCAGCCCCUUGUGAAAGAAGCUACUGUUAUUAUUAUUACUUUUUUUUUUUUUUAAUACCAGCAAAGAGUGAAAAUGACGUACAGUUGUGGACAGGAAAUAAUAUAUUGUUAGGUCCUACAUCGGCGAUUCACGCGGUAUAUAAAGAAACUGACAAAGUUUUCUAUGAUCUCUUUUUAAAUAAUUGAACAAGUUGUUAGAUAAUAUGUAUGAUCGUGUCGUCAUAUUGAGAUUUGGAAGCAUUUAGUUGAAAUACCUUGACCAUCUCUUUCUUAUUUUCUUCUUCUUCUUUUCUUUUUUUUUAAAAAAAUUUGACUCGUUUGCAUAAUUAGUUGAAAGGAAAGAAUGAACAUACUAAUAAACUAGGAAAACGCUGCCACAUAAUAUUUUAAGAUUCAUAUCGAACCACUUUAUUUAGAUUUUGUCAUUUUAGCAGAUGUCUGAUAGUGGGAGUUUAGAGUUUAAUCUCUAACUUUGCUUGUGAAGUGUGAAAAAUCAAAUAAUCUUUUCAACUCGUUUUUCAACAAAAAUAGAUAACAAUUCAUCAUCAGUUAUUUCUCUUUAUGUAUAAAAUGAUCAAUCUAGAGCUGGAUAUUCACAUGUUUUUCUAUUUCUAAUCAUUUCAAAAUAUAAUAUGAACUUUUAAAAAAAAAUCAAAUUGUAAUAAAGUGACAUAAAUAUUAAAAAAUAAAAAUAAAAAGUCAAAAACGUAAUGCCGAAAAAAGACAAAACCUUUUUGUUUGUUCUAUUCAUGGCAUCUAAAUAUGAGAAAUGAUGGGUUGAUUGUCAUUGUGAACAACCAUAUUAAUUGCAACACGUGAAUACCAUCAAAGUUAUAAUAAUUUAUGGACCCAUGCACCUGUAUUUCUAAUUAUUCCGCGUAGAAGGCUAAAGUUUAAUGUGUGAUUCUCAAAUUCAUUGUCAAGUGAUUUGAAUGUUUUAACGAACAGUGCUUACUUUUCUUUUUGAAGGAGCACAAUAACAACUUGAAGAUUCCUGGAAAUUGCCUACAGCACAAAUAUUUUUCAAUUGAACAAAAACCAUCAAUAAUUUUCAAACUUAGAAGAUAUUUAUUUUUUUCCCCAUAACCCACCAAAAACUUUUUCAUUUAGUGUAACUUUGUAAUUUUCUUAGAUGAUACUUAAAACUGCUAAUAUCUUCUAAUUAUUGUUUUAAAAAUCUCAAUGAUUGCAUGCCCAAUUAACGGAUCAGUAAUCUCAGUUUGACAUAUUUAUUUAAAAAAAAGAAAUAUACAGAUUGUUUGAUGACUCUAGAAUAGAACAUCAGGAAAUGAAGAGAAAAAGUAACAUACUUUAUGACGAUCAUUGCCGAUGACAUAACAGAUGUAAGUAUUUAUUGCCAAUUAAUUGACAUUCUUAUCAAGUAAUUGUUUUAGACUUGAAUUCAAAAGCUCUACUCCGCUCUGCCCUUCGGUAAUUCCCCUGUUCAAAAAAUAAUAUUGUUUUAAAAAUCUCAAUAACAACAUGCCCAACAUAACAGGAAGAUUCGACUUUCUCAGAAGAACUACUUGAAAAAAAUCUUGCAACGCUUCAACAUGCAAGAUUGUAAGUCAAUUUCCACCCCACUUUCUGUCAAUUUCAAGUUAUCCUCAAGUAUGUGUCCUAGUAAUGAAGCAGAGAGGAAGGAGAUGUCUCGAGUACCAUAUGCAUCAGCAGUGGAAAGUUUAAUGUUCGCUAUGAUAUAUACUAGACCAGACAUUGCACAAGCAGUGGGAGCAGUCAGUCGAUACAUGGCGAAUCCUGGUGGAGAGCAUUGGAUAGUUGCGAAGAGGAUUCUAAGAUACAUCAGAGGAACCUCAGAUGUUGCAUUAUGUUAUGGAGGAUCAGAGUUUACUGUCAGGAACUAUGUGGAUUCAGAUUUUGUAGGAGAUCUUGAUAAAAGAAAAUCCACUACUGGCUAUGUGUUUACACUUGCGGGAGCAGCUGUAAGCUGAGUUUCUAAACUGCAGACCGUUGUGGCUCUAUCUACAACAGAAGCAGAGUACAUGGCAGCUACACAAGCUUGCAAGGAAGCUAUCUGUAUACAAAGGUUAUUAGAGGAGCUCGGGCAUAAACAAGAGAAAAUUUAUGUGUUUUGUGACAGUUAGAGUGCCUUGCACAUUGCAAGGAAUCCAGCCUUUCAUUCCAGGACAAAGCACAUAGGAGUUCAGUAUCACUUUUUUCGAGAAGUAGUGGAAGACGAAAGUGUGGAUUUACAAAAAAAAAUCCAUACGAAUGAGAACCUAGCAGAUAUUUUGACCAAGCCGAUCAAUGCUGGCAAGUUUAUCUAGAGUAAAUUAGGGAUGGCAAAAACCGGGUCCGGGUCCGGGUUUGGCCUUUCCGGUUCCGGACCCGGAUGCCAAUUCUCCUUCCCGGAUCCGGAUAUAAACCCGCAUUUUCUUUCUCCGGGUUCGGUACGGGUUCAACCCGGAAAAAUCUGGGUUUCCGGAUUACGGGUUUUGAACCCGAAAAGUUGGAGUCUGGAACAAUAAAGCCUUUGUGCAUGCCCCUUUUGACUCUGGACGAGUGGAUUAGCGGUUUAUUUGAGGUGUCGGUUGAGACACCGGCGAGUCCAGGAAGCAGCAGCCAUGAAAGCAGUGAGCAAGGUUUGAGAUCCAGCAUCCACGAACAAGAGAGAGAUGAGAUCGAGCGCCAACAAGAGUGGAUUAGCAGUUUCUUUAAGGUGUCGGUUGAGGCACCAGCAAGUCGAGGAGGUGGCAGCCAUGAGAGUAGCGAGCAAGGUUUGAGAUCCAGCAUCCAAGAACAAGAGAGAAAUGAGAUCAAAUUUGAUGAGAGAUGAGAGAUAAGGUUGAAUUUGAUGGUGCCAAAGAUUGUUUGUUGCUUUUGAUGAUGAUUGCAGAAAAAUUAAUUAAUUAAUAAAUUAUUAAUAUUUUAGUGCAGGUCCGGGUUCCUGGAAUCCGGGUUUGGUUGAACCCGCAACCGGACCCGCAUGUAUCCGGGUUUGAAAAAAUGCUACCCGGAUCCGCAUUUUUAUGCACCCGGGAUGGGUUUAACCCGGACCGGAUCGUCCGGGUUUAUCCGGGUUCGGGCCGGGUCCGGAAAAAUUUGCCAUCCCUAGAGUAAAUCCUCUUGUGGCCUAGCAGAAACGUAGGCAACAUGAUUAUGUCGAAUCAGAAAGGAUGGUGUGGAGAUUGAUUGAUUCUCAAUCUAAUCUCCAAGUGGGAGAAUGUUAAAGUCAUGGUUGGGAGGUGUCACCCAAAGAAAGAAACAAAAGAGAAAGAAGAAAAAGAAGAAAAAAUGGGUACCGGGCUAUAAAGGGCAAAGAAAAAAAAUUAAUAAAAUAAUAAAAAUAAUAUAUGAUUGAUGAAUAGUGCCAAAACUUUCUCUAUAAAUAGAAACGAAGAGAAUGAGCAAAUUCAUUUCAUCGAGAGAGAAGCAUUUCCUUCCUUUAGAGAGGUGAGAGUAUCAAGAGUUUAAUAAACUCUUGAGUGAUUAGUGUUUUGAGAGUUUGGGUGUAUUGGGAUUUUAGGUAGUGAGGUAAAAUACCACAAUACUUGUAACUCCUUUUCACUAGUAAAAUAUUUUUCUUCUUUUUCGCCCGUGGACGUAGGCUAAAAGUCGAACCACGUAAUUUCUUGUGUCCACUUUUUGUGCUUGUUCUUUGUUUUCUUACAAUUUCAUUUUAGCUGCGUGUUUGCUUCACUCAUCAAGUAAACAUCAUCAAUCAUUUUCGUUUUGAAUUAUGAUUUUUCAAUCCAAAAAGUAGAUGCCAGUAAAAGAGAGAGUUAAACUUGACUCACCCGCUUUUCUAAUUGUUCUGAUUUGUUGUAUAAUUUAUUCUAAAGUUAUUUUAUAAUUUAUCUAAAACGUAUAUAACACGUUCUCAAUUUUAUUACUAUAAACUUACGCUGUAUUGUCUAGUCUUAGUAAGUAACGACUCAAUUGGAUGUGGGAGGAUCCCUUCCGCUUUGACCAAAAAAACUGUUUCGAGGACAGUAUUCUAACUCAACUCAAGUGCUGAACAAAGAAAGAAACGCUGAGAACAUUAAUGAAAGUUAUCAUACAGAGCAAACAAGUCAAGAGUACACACAAGAGGAGAAAUAAUUAACACAAUUAUUUUACAUGGUUGAGUUUCUCUAAGCCCACGUCCACGAAGACAGACACUUGGCCAAGGAAAUAAUUGACCAAGGAAUUUACAAGGAAACUCUCUUUUCCAGAAGUUACAAGAGCCCUGACACUAUUCCUCUCGAGGUCUAGUUCAAGUCGCCCAAGCCUCUCAAGCUCCCUUAAGAACUCUGCUUUCUUGCUGUUCAAGAAAGCGCCUGAUUGGAAUCACAUGCUCCACGUGACAUCUGGCAUAACUAAAUCUGCUGCCGUACCCGGCCAAUUUAUGAUGCCACUUAUGAUACCCUGUCUCGUCAGCUUCCUUGCCCUGCGUCAUCAUAGGACCUUACAUCUUGGAACCUCCAUGAAAGCUGAAUCUCUAACAGCCCAUCAUAAAAGAUAGUAGUUUUAAAAUAUGGAAAUUACCAAAAAUACCUGCACAUUUUGAAAUUUGUCAAAAAAUGAAGAGUUGAAAGCAAUAGGAAGACGUAAUUAACCAACCAAUUUGAUUCCUCUGAUCGCUUUCAUCUCAGGACUCUUUGUCUUCCCGUGCGUCUUCGAUUCCACAGGACAAUCUUGGAUUGAAUUUAUACAUCAGAAGAAAAUAUCAGUAUGCCCAAAAUAAAAAAAGGUGUCAUAUAGAAGUAUUCUGUCGCAGACUUAACAUAUCUAUCAAGUAAGUAAUUAAUAAUUCCUAGUUUUAAAAGUAGAGCAAUUGGAUAUCAAGUCCGUAAAUUCAAGAUAUAAUAACUCUUGACAAUUAUAUAUUCAUAUGCAUGUUAGUAGCAUGAUGCUACCAAUAUUCGCACCUUUAGCAUUCAAACACUUGAUCAUUGAAAGAAUUUAAGAAAAAUGUUGUUUGGUUACUGAGAAAAUAUCUCAACAAAAUUUUCAGAGAACUUUCCGGAAUUCUUGCCUGUAUUUCACUUAAUGAAAAAUGUUAAAAUUACAUUCAAUUUAUAUUCGAUGCUUUAGCAUUACUAUAACUAACUCAGAACAUACUACACAUGCUUAACUACAGCUCAAUAUAUACAGAGUAAGUCAUAACAAACUUUUAACUACUUAUGCUGAGGUGGCAACUGAGCUGUUAUUCUGCUUAAUCAUCUGACGUCAACAACUUGCUGGUUUUCCUCAGCUUGAGCGUCUUCUUCCUUUCUGGACAAUGAGCUUCUUUAACAAUCAUUGAAGCAGCCUUUCUCACCAACCUAGCUCCGACAUUAAUCUAUAGAGUUAUC